GCCGCCGCCAGCGCCCCCUAACGGCCGCGGGGCAACGGCCGCGCCGCACGCAGCCCUCAGGCCGCGCCUCAGGCAGAGCGGGGCUCUCGGGGCAGGGGGCUUACGGGGCGGAGAGGCGCUGAGGGUAAGGCCGCCGUGUGCCAUCUUCUUUCUAGUUUAAUGAAGGCGGAGGGUCCUGCUAACAGCCCGCGUACGUUCGGGGAGGCCAUCGUGUCGUGCCUGGCUAAAAGGCAGCUGCGCCUCUGGGCAAUGAUUUGUUUUCUGCUCAGUCCUCACGUUUGAAAGGAGCUCACGGAGUGAUUCUGGAGAACAGAAAAGGAAAAGCCUCAGGAAGGAGCUCCUCUGGCUCCCAGCAGCUUUGGUGACGGCUAUCACUGAGUGAAGAAACCCCAUUUUUUUCUCCUACUCUUGUUAACCAGGGGUGAAGUACGUUGUGGGUUGCGACCAUGUCCUGCUCUCCUAAGAUGUAGCUGUGAAAAUUGAGCAAUGCAGUGAUCUCUCCCUCUGUGGGACUUGUUUACAUGUAAUUAGAUCAGAGAAAGCCCCGUUUAAGCAAAUUAGGACGGCACCAGUUGAGUUUAGAAGUGUUUCUUUAAUUCGGUGUUCCACUGUCAUUCUGAUGUCGUUCUGUUCAGGGAGUCGCCCAGAAGGGUGCACGGGGGUCUGGUGCGAAAGAUGGAUGCUUUCAGGAGCUCCCAAGGAACGCCGCAAUGCAUCCCCGGUCUGAAAUGUGCUCAGGGAAAGCCUCACUGCAGGAGAGGCUGCAAGCACAGCGAGCGGGGCAAGCGCCGUCUGCUCGGGGUGCCGUGCACGGGCAGAACCACUCAUACAGACAGAACUACGGCCGGCGAUAAGGUCAGCCUGACUGCGCUAUUGGGAGUCAGGCUGCAGUUUGGGUUAGAGGGGGGAAGUUAACAAACGGAUCCUAACUGCCUGGCCCUGAUUCCAGCCACUCGUUACUAACAACAAAGGCCCGCAGGGCGUUACGUGACACAAGCAGCUCCUUAACCCGGCCCUGCCCUGGGGUCCGGCCAUGGAUCUCCUACCACUGCCUCAGCCCUGCACUUGUCUUUGUCCGCAUCUCUCCCGCACGCUCCCCUUCUUGCUUCCGAGCUGCAUAUUACACAAGAAAUAAUAGUCAUUAUUUUCGAACAUAAACUCGCUGUAACGCCCUCCCUUGCCGGCCUGAUUGUGUUCUGCUCCACGGUGUGAUAUUUGGUUGGUACACAGAAGGAGCUACCCAUUCCUGAAAGAGCCUCUGCAUUUCUCUUCUGCUAACGAUCGAUGUGGCAGGUGAAUUACAAAGUCACCAUUCUCAGGUUGAUCUCUGCUUUUGAAAGCGUUGUUUUACCAAUACAGCUUUUCAUACACACCCAGAGUGCAUGGAGUGAAACAACAAUACCAGCAGUUAGCAAAGUCGUUUGGAGCACUUACUAAAAGCCUUACCCACCUCUGGGGCAGCUUCCUCUUGAAAUCUUGAAGGUUAAUGUGAGUAAUUUCACCCCAGGAGUCCCUAGCCAUCACAGACAGGUUACGUUAUGAAUCUUCAACGUGCAUUCCAAAGCCCACUCUGGAAAGUGGGUUUGUUGAGAUGAGUUUGCUCAGAACUUCUCUGAGAUUAGGUCUCCUCCAAACCAGGCACAGAUGCGUAUGUAUCCUGAAAUAAAAUGUUGUGCCUUGCUACGUCAUCCUUUUGAAAAGCCACCUUGCCUUCCUGGCUAUCGAAUCUGCAUCUUUUUUAUCUAUAUGCCCUCCCUUGAUUCAAGUGUAUCCUGAUGAAAUGCCACCUCACCACCUAAUUGCUGGAUGCAACUACUGUUGCUAAGCAAGAAGAGAAGUUUUUUUUUAUGUUGUCCAGCUGUCUGCCAGUGAAUUAAUACCUGCUUUAACACAAACACGAAACUACCAUAUCUAAGUAAGGAACACCGUUGUGCCACAGAAGUCCAAAGGCUCUCUGGGCUGAGGGAGCAGUACCAUCACCACAGUGUGUGAGAGAAGGGGUUCUGCAGUUCUGCUAGGAGGGGAGCUCUCUCUAUGCUAGUUCAAUCACCUUUCAGUGUCUGUAGUGGUAAGGACUCUUCUGACUGACGUUUUGUUCACCUUGUGAAACUAGCAAAUGAACAUCUGCAGGCAUCCUGAAACAUCCUGAAUCACGGUCAGAAAAUCAACCUGAACUCCAGCUGAGACCCAAACCAAGAAGAUGGCAAUCCACAGACUGCUAAUAGUGAGCUUACAUUGCUUUCUUUGUCAACAAGCAAAUAAACUAUCGUGUAAUUCUUUGUCCA
Long non-coding RNA from Numida meleagris (helmeted guineafowl), 2285 nucleotides. RefSeq lists it as uncharacterized. NCBI's taxonomy places the organism in Eukaryota, Metazoa, Chordata, Aves, Galliformes, Numididae. The record is from RefSeq and is a predicted model, not a curated record. The transcript is spliced from 2 exons.